CACGUAGGGCGCAAGCGUGUCCGGAAUUAUUGGGCGUAAAGAGCUCGUAGGCGGUCUGUUGCGUCCGCUGUGAAAACCCGGGGCUUAACCCCUGGCUUGCAGUGGAUACGGACAGACUAGAGGUAGGUAGGGGAGAAUGGAAUUCCCGGGUGAGCGGUGGAAAUGCGUAGAGAUCGGAAGGAACACCGUGUGGAGGAAGGCGGCUGGCCAGC
RNAcentral lists this ribosomal RNA (212 nucleotides) under uncultured bacterium. RNAcentral's name for it is "partial 16S ribosomal RNA". It matches the Rfam family "Bacterial small subunit ribosomal RNA", at positions 524 to 733 of the family's 1533-position model. The record is from RNAcentral.